This 1641-nucleotide ribosomal RNA is filed under the name fermentation metagenome. Its description in RNAcentral is "bacterial LSU rRNA". It matches the Rfam family "Bacterial large subunit ribosomal RNA", at positions 831 to 2462 of the family's 2925-position model. The record is from RNAcentral.
AAUCGAACUCGGAGAUAGCUGGUUCUCCUCGAAAUAGCUUUAGGGCUAGCCUCAGGAAGAAGUAUCGUGGGGGUAGAGCACUGAAUGGUCUAGGGGCGUUAUACGUUACCAAAACCUAUCAAACUCCGAAUACCAUAGAUAUAAACCUGGGAGUCAGACUGUGUGAGAUAAGUUUCAUAGUCAAAAGGGAAACAGCCCAGAUCACCAACUAAGGUCCCAAAAUACAGAUUAAGUGGAAAAGGAUGUAAAACUACACAGACAACCAGGAUGUUGGCUUAGAAGCAGCCACACAUUAAAAGAGUGCGUAAUAGCUCACUGGUCGAGAGGUUUUGCGCCGAAGAUGUCCGGGGCUAAAACUUACCACCGAAACCAUGGCAAUGAUGCAAUGCAUUGUUGGGUAGGGGAGCAUCCUGCAUGGAUAGAAGCAGUACCGUAAGGAGCUGUGGACUAUGCAGGAGAGAGAAUGCUGGCAUAAGUAGCGAAAGGAAGGUGAGAAUCCUUCCCGUCGAAAACCUAAGGUUUCCUGAGGAAGGUUCGUCCACUCAGGGUUAGUCGGGACCUAAGUCGAGGCCGAAAGGCGUAGAUGAUGGACAAUCGGUUGAAAUUCCGAUACCACCUUUAAGCGUUUAAGAAAAGGGGUGACGCAGGAGGAUAAGCUGAGCGCACGGAUGGAAAAGUGCGUCUAAGAACUAAGUCAGACCUUCAAGGAAAAUCCGGGAGGUGACGAUAAGGUUUAAUGGGGAGCCGUAAGGCGAAGCAGCUAAGUUCACACUGUCAAGAAAAGCCUCUAUCGAGCAAGAAGGUGCCCGUACCGCAAACCGACACAGGUAGGCAAGGAGAGAAUCCAAAGAUGAGCGGAAGAACUAUUGUUAAGGAACUAGGCAAAAUGACCCCGUAACUUCGGGAGAAGGGGUGCCGGGAGGUGUGAAGAUUGAACAAUUGGAGCACAACCCGGCCACAGAAAACAGGCCCAAGCGACUGUUUAGCAAAAACACAGGUCUCUGCUAAAUCGAAAGAUGAAGUAUAGGGGCUGACGCCUGCCCGGUGCUGGAAGGUUACGGGGAUCUGUUAGCGCAAGCGAAGCAGUGAACUUAAGCCCCAGUAAACGGCGGCCGUAACUAUAACGGUCCUAAGGUAGCGAAAUUCCUUGUCAGGUAAGUUCUGACCCGCACGAAAGGCGUAAUGACUUGGGCACUGUCUCAACAAUGCACCCGGUGAAAUUGUAGUACUUGUGAAGAUGCAAGUUACCCGCGACAGGACGGAAAGACCCCAUGGAGCUUUACUAUAGAUUGUUAUUGGGAUCUGGUAUUGUCUGUAUAGGAUAGGUGGGAGACUGUGAAGCACCGGCGUCAGUUGGUGUGGAGUCAUCCUUGGAAUACCACUCUGACAGUAUUGGUUCUCUAACCGAUGGCCGUAAUCCGGUCACGGGACAUUGGCAGUCGGGUAGUUUGACUGGGGCGGUCGCCUCCCAAAAAGUAACGGAGGCGUUCAAAGGUUACCUCAGUACGGUUGGAAACCGUGCAUCGAGUGCAAAGGCAUAAGGUAGCCUAACUGCGAGACCUACAAGUCGAGCAGAUGCGAAAGCAGGACUUAGUGAUCCGGCGGUAGAAAGUGGAAUUGCCGUCGCUCAACGGAUAAAAG